Eutrema salsugineum is the source of this 1911-nucleotide RNA transcript. It is a transcript of the gene named DUF21 domain-containing protein At2g14520, with no coding region annotated. The record is from RefSeq and is a predicted model, not a curated record. NCBI's taxonomy places the organism in Eukaryota, Viridiplantae, Streptophyta, Magnoliopsida, Brassicales, Brassicaceae. The transcript has 12 exons.
ACUCGGAUCUCUCUCAUAAUUCUCGGCUUUGUUCGUAUUUCGUGUGUCACAAAUCACAAAUCUUUUCAAAAGCCCAUCAGAAAAAUAAUCUGAGCUCGUCAUCUUCAUCUGAUUUUUUUUUCACUGUCUUCGAAGCGGUUGUUUUUGUCCGUACGUGAUGAUUUCGAAUAUGUCGAAGAAGCUUUAGAAAACAUAAGAUUAGGGUUUCCAAUUUUCUCUUUUUUUCUAAAUGGCGGUGGAGUAUGAAUGCUGUGAGACAAACUUCUUCAUACACAUCGUAGUGAUAGUGUUUCUUGUCUUGUUCGCUGGACUCAUGUCUGGUCUUACUUUGGGUCUUAUGUCCAUGAGUCUCGUUGAUCUUGAGGUUCUGGCUAAAUCCGGUACACCCAGAGAUCGUAAACAUGCUGCAAAGAUAUUACCAGUUGUGGAAAAUCAGCAUCUGUUGCUUUGCACUUUACUAAUAUGCAAUGCAGCUGCUAUGGAGGCACUUCCUAUUUUCCUUGAUGCCCUUGUGACGGCUUGGAGUGCUAUUCUGAUUUCUGUGACAUUGAUUCUUCUCUUUGGUGAGAUUAUACCUCAGUCUGUCUGUUCCCGUCAUGGUUUGGCAAUUGGCGCAAUAGUGGCACCAUUUGUCCGUGUUCUAGUCUGGAUCUGCUUUCCAUUUGCGUGGCCGAUUAGUAAGCUGCUGGACUAUCUACUGGGUCAUGGUCGUGUAGCACUUUUCCGCAGAGCCGAGCUGAAAACACUAGUGGAUUUUCAUGGGAAUGAGGCUGGUAAAGGUGGAGAGUUGACACAUGAUGAGACAACAAUCAUUGCUGGAGCUCUUGAACUAUCAGGGAAAAUGGCUAAAGAUGCAAUGACACCAAUUUCUGAGACUUUUGUGAUUGAUAUCAACGCCAAACUAGACAGAGAUUUGAUGAAUUUGAUUCUUGAGAAAGGGCAUAGCAGGGUCCCUGUAUACUACGAGCAACGUACAAACAUAAUUGGACUUGUUUUGGUCAAGAACUUAUUGACUAUCAAUCCAGAUGAAGAAAUACAAGUCAAGAAUGUGACUAUACGAAGGAUCCCAAGAGUUCCAGAAACCUUACCGUUAUAUGAUAUAUUGAACGAGUUCCAGAAAGGACACAGCCACAUGGCUGUUGUUGUGAGACAAUGGGACAAAAUCCACCCCUUACCCGGUAAUGAUGCUCUUAACGAGAGUUUAAACGAAGUCAGAGUGGAUGUGGAUAAUGAGAGAUCCCCACAAGAAAAGAAGUUGAAGAGAAGGAGAUCACUUCAGAAAUGGAAAAGCUUUCCAAACCGAGCAAAUUCGUUUAAAGGAGGGUCUAGGAGUAAAAGGUGGUCAAAGGAUAAUGAUGCCGACAUUCUGCAACUUAACGGACAUUCACUGCCAAAACUAGCCGAGGAGGAAGAAGCUGUUGGUAUCAUUACAAUGGAAGAUGUCAUUGAAGAACUUCUACAGGAAGAGAUAUUUGAUGAGACGGAUCAUCAUUUUGAAGACUCGUGACAGAUACUACUACAGGAGAUCAACAUUUGGUGGCAGAACUCAGCAAAUCCAAUACGUACAAGUUUUGUUGUGAAAAGUUCAUAUAAAAGCUACUGCUUAAGUAAAUAGUUAGUGUCAAAUCUACAAGUUGUGCGGACAUUAGGAAUAGAAGCCUACGUGAGAAGUUCAAUCUAGUAGUGGAGGCCUUUAUUAACUCAAUGGAGUGAAAAGAAACACAUCAGAAGCUGAUCCACUUGAAGAUACCACAAGAAAUCUCAUACGGACCCGACAAGGACCAAACAGAGGACAUUGCAAGUUUAACUUACAAACGACAUAUAUUGAUAAACUGAGAAAACGUGAAAAGAUGUGACUGGCAAAUUGGACCGAGGGAGAAGGUACAUCGAUGAGGUCGGAGAGAAUUGUUU